RNAcentral lists this ribosomal RNA (433 nucleotides) under uncultured bacterium. Its description in RNAcentral is "partial 16S ribosomal RNA". It matches the Rfam family "Bacterial small subunit ribosomal RNA", at positions 29 to 507 of the family's 1533-position model. The record is from RNAcentral.
AACGAACGCUGGCGGCAGGCCUAACACAUGCAAGUCGAGCGAGGACUUCGGUUCUAGCGGCGGACGGGUGAAUAACGCGUGGGAAUGUGCCCUUCUCUACGGAAUAGCCCUGGGAAACUGGGAGUAAUACCGUAUACGCCCUAUUGGGGAAAGAUUUAUCGGAGAAGGAUCAGCCCGCGUUGGAUUAGGUAGUUGGUGGGGUAAUGGCCUACCAAGCCGACGAUCCAUAGCUGGUUUGAGAGGAUGAUCAGCCACACUGGGACUGAGACACGGCCCAGACUCCUACGGGAGGCAGCAGUGGGGAAUCUUAGACAAUGGGGGCAACCCUGAUCUAGCCAUGCCGCGUGAGUGAUGAAGGCCUUAGGGUUGUAAAGCUCUUUCAGCUGGGAAGAUAAUGACGGUACCAGCAGAAGAAGCCCCGGCUAACUCCGUG